UUUCCGUAGGUGAACCUGCGGAAGGAUCAUUACAGUGUUCUCUGCCCUCACGGGUAGAAACGCCCACCCUUGUAUAUUAUAUCUUUGUUGCUUUGGCAGGCCGCCCUCGGGCACCGGCUCCGGCUGGAUCGCGCCUGCCAGAGGAAACCCAAACUCUGAAUGUUAAUGUCGCCUGAGUACUAUCUAAUAGUUAAAACUUUCAACAACGGAUCUCUUGGUUCUG
This 223-nucleotide unclassified non-coding RNA is filed under the name plant metagenome. Its description in RNAcentral is "partial contains small subunit ribosomal RNA, internal transcribed spacer 1, and 5.8S ribosomal RNA". The record is from RNAcentral.